This 225-nucleotide long non-coding RNA is filed under the name Elaeis guineensis (African oil palm). Its description in RNAcentral is "long non-coding RNA (EGUI_LNC032874)". Lineage: Eukaryota; Viridiplantae; Streptophyta; Magnoliopsida; Arecales; Arecaceae. The record is from RNAcentral.
AUCGAGUGAAGCAUCAAUUAUAGUAGAAUCCAAACAGAUCUUUUGGUCAUAAUCGUUAAGAUAAGGAUAUCUCUGGUGCAAAGAAUACAAUGCGUGACACUCAAAUUUUGGAUUCCUGCCAAAACUGGAUAAUGUUAAAUCCAUUUGGAAAUUAGGGAUAGAAUUAUUGCAAAAUAAAUCAGGUAAGCCAUCGGUUAUAGUAGAAUCCAAGGAGAUUUUUUGGCC